This 492-nucleotide ribosomal RNA is filed under the name uncultured bacterium. Its description in RNAcentral is "partial 16S ribosomal RNA". It matches the Rfam family "Bacterial small subunit ribosomal RNA", at positions 29 to 507 of the family's 1533-position model. The record is from RNAcentral.
AGUGAACGCUGGCGGUAGGCCUAACACAUGCAGGUCGAACGGCAGCACAGUAAGAGCUUGCUCUUACGGGUGGCGAGUGGCGGACGGGUGAGGAAUACAUCGGAAUCUACUUUUUCGUGGGGGAUAACGUAGGGAAACUUACGCUAAUACCGCAUACGACCUACGGGUGAAAGCAGGGGAUCUUCGGACCUUGCGCGAUUGAAUGAGCCGAUGUCGGAUUAGCUAGUUGGCGGGGUAAAGGCCCACCAAGGCGACGAUCCGUAGCUGGUCUGAGAGGAUGAUCAGCCACACUGGAACUGAGACACGGUCCAGACUCCUACGGGAGGCAGCAGUGGGGAAUAUUGGACAAUGGGCGCAAGCCUGAUCUAGCCAUACCGCGUGGGUGAAGAAGGCCUUCGGGUUGUAAAGCCCUUUUGUUGGGAAAGAAAAGCAGCAGGUUAAUACCCCGCUGUUCUGACGGUACCCAAAGAAUAAGCACCGGCUAACUUCGUG